UCUUGUUCUCUUUACUUCUGUAGUUCUGUAUUAUCGCUUUACCAUUCUCAUAGAAAGACUUCUGUAGUUCUGUAUUUCAUUGGUUAACAAAAUAGAGAGAGAGAGAGAGAGAGAAGAGAGAGCAAAGUUUCGUCCAAGAUUACUCUCUCUCGUAGUCAAACUCUGCUUCAAGAUUUGGUUCUCUCUGCAAGGAUAAAACCAGAAUUCGAAGGCUCGUCAAUAUACCAACACGUUCAAUAAACGCUGGAGAAAAAAGAAAAAACAGAGAAUGAAAAAAGUUUAGAGAAAUUUCUGGCGUGAUAUAUGCAUCGUAAUCAAGAAGAGAACCGGAGGUGAAUUAUUAGAAGGCGACGAGAAGUAACAGAGAUAAACAUUUCACGGCCAGCUAUGAAUGAUCGAAGUUCUCAAUCAAGGCAGAAAGCAAGACAACCCAUCCAGCAAGGAGGAAAAAGCAAAUCAAGCUAUUUGGCCAGAUUCACCGCCAUUAUCCUCAGUUUAUGUUCAAGCAGGUUAUAUUAAGAAAGAUAAUUUUGACCCGGACCCGGAUCGCAAGUGGCAAAGACACCUCGAACAUUCUAUACACUUAAUACACUUUUUGGUUCAUGUACAAAGAAGUUUUCUAGUUUUGGACUUUCUUUGUAUAAUUUAGUUAUUCUAAAGCAUUUCUGGUUCACCAUGGUAACAACAAAAAUUGGUUUUGAAUGGUGACGGUGACAAA
Long non-coding RNA from Camelina sativa (false flax), 718 nucleotides. RefSeq lists it as uncharacterized. Lineage: Eukaryota; Viridiplantae; Streptophyta; Magnoliopsida; Brassicales; Brassicaceae. The record is from RefSeq and is a predicted model, not a curated record.